GAUGAACGCUGGCGGCGUGCCUAAUACAUGCAAGUCGAGCGAACAGACGAGGAGCUUGCUCCUCUGACGUUAGCGGCGGACGGGUGAGUAACACGUGGAUAACCUACCUAUAAGACUGGGAUAACUUCGGGAAACCGGAGCUAAUACCGGAUAAUAUAUUGAACCGCAUGGUUCAAUAGUGAAAGACGGUUUUGCUGUCACUUAUAGAUGGAUCCGCGCCGCAUUAGCUAGUUGGUAGGGUAACGGCUUACCAAGGCAACGAUGCGUAGCCGACCUGAGAGGGUGGUAGGCCACACUGGAACUGAGACACGGUCAAGACUCCUACGGGAGGCAGCAGUAGGGAAUCUUCCGCAAUGGGCGAAAGCCUGACGGAGCAACGCCGCGUGAGUGAUGAAGGUGUUCGGAUCGGAAAACUCUGUUAUUAGGGAAGAACAAAUGUGUAAGUAACUAUGCACGGCUUGACGGUACCGAAUCAGAAAGCCACGGCUAACUACGUG
RNAcentral lists this ribosomal RNA (497 nucleotides) under uncultured bacterium. RNAcentral describes it as "partial 16S ribosomal RNA". It matches the Rfam family "Bacterial small subunit ribosomal RNA", at positions 28 to 507 of the family's 1533-position model. The record is from RNAcentral.